Molecule: transfer RNA, 94 nt
Filed under: Antarctobacter heliothermus
Lineage: Bacteria; Pseudomonadati; Pseudomonadota; Alphaproteobacteria; Rhodobacterales; Roseobacteraceae
Description: tRNA-Phe
Source: RNAcentral
UCUCGCCGCGGGUCGGCUAAGGCCCAUUGGUUAAAACCCAUUGGUUAAAACCCAUUGGUUAAAACCCAUUGGUUAAAACCCAUUGGUUAAAACC